Hemicordylus capensis (graceful crag lizard) is the source of this 1841-nucleotide long non-coding RNA. RefSeq lists it as uncharacterized. The transcript is spliced from 6 exons. NCBI's taxonomy places the organism in Eukaryota, Metazoa, Chordata, Lepidosauria, Squamata, Cordylidae. The record is from RefSeq and is a predicted model, not a curated record.
UAAAAGCAAUGAGGGGCCCAUAAUGUCCAGUUGGAGCACUCUCAAAUCAGUCGGAAUGCUUGUGUGGAGAAAAGGAGAUGGGGAAGGGAGGGGCAAGUACACAGCUUCUGCCCUGGUUGCCCAGGAAACAGCUUGAAAGGGACCUUUGCUUCUGCUUCUUCUCCAAAGAAAGAGAAAUGUCUUGAAAGGGUAACCCUUACGGUUGAAAGCACUGGGAAGACACACACCCACAUUUUGUUCCAAUCUGAAACAUCAGUGAUUUGGCUCAGGAAGAAGCUUGAACUUACAGAGCAAUUGUUCAGCAUGCGCAGACCUGUACUGGAUGCUGCUAUCCAAGGAAAGAAAAGGUCAGAUCCAAAGCUCUGCCUUCCAAACCUGCAGGCUGGAUAUGUGUAUAGGUGAAAGUCUUCCGUGAUAGAUUUGUACCCAACAGUUGAGCCACAACAUUUAUUCGUCAUUACAAUAGGACUCUGUGACAUCAAUAAUAACUCACUGCAUGAUGUACCUGCAGCAUGAAUGAUUUAGAAAUUUCUCCAGCAUAAGCCUCACUGAAAUAAAUAAGACUUGCAUUUAAGAAGAACAUCUAUUCAUUUGCUUUCCACUUACUUCCGGGUGGAUUGUACCCACACCUUUGAAAAGGGCAAAUUAAUAGUAAUUAUGUCUUGUGUCAGCUUUGAAGAACAGCAACGAUUGCUUCACACCGAGGCUGCACAGGGUGGCUAUCAAGCAUUAUUGUACAGCUAAUACCGUUAUCCUCACCUCUGAAUGGUGCUCUUCAUUCUGCUGCAGAACUUCAAUGCAGAGCUCGGCUAAAUGAAUAACCUCUUCCAGCUUUACAGAAGGAGAUGCUUGAUUCAGCGUCUCUGUAAUGAAAAGGAAUACACAAACCAAGAUGAUUGCAGCUAGGAAAUGUGGAACGGGAAACAUAAGAAGAAUUAAAAUGAUAUACAACUGGAUAAUUUCAAAAGAGUGACAUCACCUAGCACUUCAGUGUCAUUAACAACACCAACUGUCAACAACUGGGCUCCAUAAAGAAGUUGUGACCCAACUUAAGCCUGAAACAGUUUUAGCGCGGCAGGAAUAUAGUGGGCCACUCGGAAGCUAUAGAAUGCCUGGACAGCCGAAGCUUUGAAGCAGAUUGGCAGAUGUAAUUGCAAUGGGUUUUCCGCUUCCCCGAGGUCUGAAAAACUACACACAAGUAUUUGAAUACCAUGACUUGUUCUAUCAAUUGCUGAUCUAUCAUCCAUGUAUGUACUUUUGGGCAUUUCAUAAAAGGAAUAAUUUUGGUCUUCUCAUAAUAUUCCUCCUCUUUACAAUAUGCUGCCAAAGCAUGAAGUGACUGCCUCAGGCCUACAGGCGUCAGAGGCAGUAACACUGCGUUGUCCGCAUAUAAAAGGAUUGAAAUAUGCCUAUUUGCCAAUUUAGGUGGGGGGAAAAGACUGGUUACUUUACCAAGAAAUUAACAAAUUAAUAUAAAAAUUGAAAAGCGAUGGCGCUAAAAUGCAACCCCGUCUAACCCCCUUAGAAAUGAGGAUCUCUCUUGUGAGCUGCCAACAUAUAUUAUACUGAACCAUCACAUGAGAAUUCUCAUGCAGCUUAAACAACAACUAGCCGACCCUGCACAGAGCAUCUGUGUGCUCCUUGGGGCUGGCGGUUCCCCCUUCCCCCCACCUACUGCCCCAGUCUCCCCUGCCCGCCUCUUCUCACCCCUGCCGCCUGCCCAGCUGGGCUCCUCUCGGCAGCGCGGCUCUGCUGCCUGCUGCUUCUUCGUGGUGGCCCAGUCGCCGCCUCACUGUGUCCGGACUGGGCCCGUGCGGCUCCAGGCAGGCUCCUCUCGGUGG